Molecule: ribosomal RNA, 327 nt
Filed under: uncultured bacterium
Lineage: Bacteria
Description: bacterial SSU rRNA
Rfam family: Bacterial small subunit ribosomal RNA
Source: RNAcentral
GACGUUUAGCUGCAGAAGAAGCACCGGCUAACUCCGUGCCAGCAGCCGCGGUAAUACGGAGGGUGCGAGCGUUUAAUCGGAAUUUACUGGGCGUUAAAGCGCAUGCAGGUGGUUUGUUAAGUCAGAUGUGAAAGCCCGGGGCUCAACCUCGGAAUUGCAUUUGAAACUGGCAAACUAGAGUACUGUAGAGGGGGUAGAAUUUCAGGUGUAGCGGUGAAAUGCGUAGAGAUCUGAAGGAAUACCGGUGGCGAAGGCGGCCCCCUCGGACAGAUACUGACACUCAGAUGCGAAAGCGUGGGGAGCAAACAGGAUUAGAUACCCUGGUAG